UACAGAGGUCCCGAGCGUUGUUCGGAUUCACUGGGCGUAAAGGGUGCGUAGGUGGCGAGGUAAGUCGGAUGUGAAAGCUCGGAGCUCAACUCCGAAAUGGCAUUGGAAACUACCUUGCUCGAGGGUUGGAGGGGGGACUGGAAUACUUGGUGUAGCAGUGAAAUGCGUAGAUAUCGUGAGGAACACCAGAGGCGAAGGCGGCUACCUGGACAAUUGCUGACGCUCAGGCACGAAAGCGUGGGGAGCAAAAGGG
Molecule: ribosomal RNA, 253 nt
Filed under: uncultured bacterium
Lineage: Bacteria
Description: partial 16S ribosomal RNA
Rfam family: Bacterial small subunit ribosomal RNA
Source: RNAcentral